AUACUUUCCUAGACGGGUUAAUGAGCGAUCAACAAGGCCCAUGGCCUAGGUUGGUGACCUCCAUUGCACUUUGGAGGGGUGCCAGCCUAAGAUUGGCCCAAGUGGUUGAGCUUACAUAAUAAUUUGUUACAGUGGCUG
Molecule: small nuclear RNA, 138 nt
Filed under: Nicotiana attenuata
Lineage: Eukaryota; Viridiplantae; Streptophyta; Magnoliopsida; Solanales; Solanaceae
Description: snRNA U1
Rfam family: U1 spliceosomal RNA
About the family: U1 is a small nuclear RNA (snRNA) component of the spliceosome (involved in pre-mRNA splicing). Its 5' end forms complementary base pairs with the 5' splice junction, thus defining the 5' donor site of an intron.
Source: Rfam by way of RNAcentral